This is a long non-coding RNA of Oncorhynchus gorbuscha (pink salmon), 527 nucleotides long. RefSeq lists it as uncharacterized. The transcript is spliced from 5 exons. The record is from RefSeq and is a predicted model, not a curated record. Lineage: Eukaryota; Metazoa; Chordata; Actinopteri; Salmoniformes; Salmonidae.
UUGACCUGUUAAUGUGUCUGGUGUGUGUGUUUGUGUGUGCAUGUGUGCGUGUGCGCUCAUGUUUGUUUGUGCACGGUUGUGUAUGUGUCUGCGUGUCCAUGAAUGCACGGGAGAGAACAGAGUCAAUUCUACAUUUUCUUUUGCUGCUGUUGUAAUUGCUCUACUUCACACUGCCGAUCUCAGUAGAGUCUCAACUCAGUCCAACUGAAGAUCCUGACACACAGACACUAUGGGCGGAGAAACAUCACAUGACAUCUCAGACUACGACUUUAACUAUGGUAAAAAGCUCAGCUGUUGGAAGGGUCAUGCAAAGCCUGUGAACACCGCUGAACCUUGAAACAAGACAUUGACCAGAGACAGCCAUGAUUGGACCCAGGGACAUCCCUAUGACAUCAAAACCUUGGAAAGAUGAGGGAUCACUAUAUAUUUGUAUUUUACUAAUGGAGGAACAAUAUGAAGAGUGAUGGGUGGUGACUGUCACAUUACAAUAAUAUCAAAUUAGCAUUAAUAAAACAUUUUUUGCCAUU